RNAcentral lists this ribosomal RNA (495 nucleotides) under uncultured bacterium. RNAcentral's name for it is "bacterial SSU rRNA". It matches the Rfam family "Bacterial small subunit ribosomal RNA", at positions 9 to 521 of the family's 1533-position model. The record is from RNAcentral.
GAGUUUGAUCAUGGCUCAGGACGAACGCUGGCGGCGUGCUUCAUACAUGCAAGUCGAGCGGAAGGGCCCUUCGGGGUACUCGAGCGGCGAACGGGUGAGUAACACGUGAGCAACCUACCCUUGGCUCUGGGAUAACUCCUCGAAAGAGGUGCUAAUACCGGAUAUGACUUCCUUCGACAUCGUCGGAAGUGGAAAGUUUUUCGGCCAAGGAUGGGCUCGCGGCCUAUCAGCUUGUUGGUGAGGGUAACGGCCCACCAAGGCUUCGACGGGUAGCCGGCCUGAGAGGGCGAUCGGCCACACUGGGACUGAGACACGGCCCAGACUCCUACGGGAGGCAGCAGUAGGGAAUAUUGCGCAAUGGGCGAAAGCCUGACGCAGCAACGCCGCGUGAGGGAUGAAGGCCUUAGGGUCGUAAACCUCUUUCGGCAGGGACGAAGCGAAAGUGACGGUACCUGCAAAAGAAGCACCGGCCAACUACGUGCCAGCAGCCGCAGU